GGAUGUUGAGGGCGAUCUGGCUGCGACAUCUGUCACCCCAUUGAUCGCCAGGGUUGAUUCGGCUGAUCUGGCUAGCUAGGGUGUCCCCUUCCUCCCUCACCGCUCCAUGUGCGUCCCUCCCGACAGCUUGCGCGCUCUGGUCGAAGAGGACGACCAUCCCGAUAGAGGAGGACCGUCUUCGGUCAAGGGUAUACGAGUAGCUGCGCUCCCCUGGUAGAACCUCCAAACAAGCUCUCAAGAACACCUUCUGGUUAGUGGUGGUAGUUAAAAGUGUUUGUGAUGUAAGUGAUAAUUAAAUCUGUUCCUAGUAUAUAUAUUCUUAUGGUUUAUUAGCUGCAUUU
This 341-nucleotide small nuclear RNA is filed under the name Castor canadensis (American beaver). RNAcentral describes it as "7SK RNA (ENSCCNG00000007739.1)". The stretch from base 1 to 298 matches the Rfam family "7SK RNA". Rfam says of the family: 7SK was discovered as an abundant small nuclear RNA in the mid-70s but a possible function has only recently been suggested. Two independent studies have found that 7SK RNA binds the CDK9/cyclin T complex (known as elongation factor P-TEFb). P-TEFb activates transcription by phosphorylating the C-terminal domain of RNA polymerase II. Lineage: Eukaryota; Metazoa; Chordata; Mammalia; Rodentia; Castoridae. The record is from Rfam by way of RNAcentral.